AAUAGAUAUAUCCUGGAUUGAUACUGGGUGUCUGCUUGAGUAGAUGCUACGGACCUGCGCUUAAUUGCGCGGUUUGUAGAGCUACUUUUUUGCGGAUGCUACCAACGGUGUCUUUCUACUUUACACACUGUGGAGAUUUCUUCUUUCAGUAUUUUUCUUUGGGCUUUCAAGCCCAGAGGUUCUAAACACAAACAACUUUGUAUUUUAUACUAGUCAUGAUCAGUUUUAUUUUGAAACUACAAACUUCAAAACUUUCAACAACGGAUCUCUUGGUUCUCGCAUCGAUGAAGAACGCAGCGAAAUGCGAUACGUAAUGUGAAUUGCAGAAUUCCGUGAAUCAUCGAAUCUUUGAACGCACAUUGCGCCCCUUGGUAUUCCAGGGGGCAUGCCUGUUUGAGCGUCAUUUCCUUCUCAAACACCUGUGUUUGGUUGUGAGUGAUACUCUCUUUUGAGUUAGCUUGAAAGUGUUGGCCGAUUGCAGUUGUAUUGCGAAUGUGUGCAGUUUAGUUUGAGUAGUGUUGCGUGUGUCCACUUGUGGGCACGGGUGAGCUGUCCAUUCAACUGUGUGUGUUUUUGAUACUGUGCUGUUAAAAUGUACAAGGUCGUAUUAGGUUUUACCAACUCGAUUGCGUGUAUUUUUAUAGUAUAGUAGAGAAGGCGUGCAUGGGGGUAGUAAGUCUAGCAGUGUUGCUUGAUACUAUGUUGUGCUAAUUUGUUGUAGCUGUGGCGAACAAUAUUCUCCAAGUUUGACCUCAAAUCAGGUAGGAAUACCCGCUGAACUUAAGAACUA
This 790-nucleotide unclassified non-coding RNA is filed under the name Grigorovia yakushimaensis. RNAcentral describes it as "Kazachstania yakushimaensis ITS1". The stretch from base 250 to 403 matches the Rfam family "5.8S ribosomal RNA". Lineage: Eukaryota; Fungi; Ascomycota; Saccharomycetes; Saccharomycetales; Saccharomycetaceae. The record is from RNAcentral.